Molecule: small nucleolar RNA, 138 nt
Organism: Tachyglossus aculeatus (Australian echidna)
Lineage: Eukaryota; Metazoa; Chordata; Mammalia; Monotremata; Tachyglossidae
Source: RefSeq, a predicted model, not a curated record
CCCCCCUCAGGAUGGCACCUGGAGAGUUUCCAGUCCUCUACCAGUCUCAGCUACAGGGGGGAGAGUUAAGCAGAGGUCUAUUCGUUCCAUUCCUAGCUUGGCCAGUGACUACUGAAUGGAAGGCUAUCUGCUACAAGG